This 434-nucleotide ribosomal RNA is filed under the name uncultured Pseudobutyrivibrio sp. Its description in RNAcentral is "partial 16S ribosomal RNA". It matches the Rfam family "Bacterial small subunit ribosomal RNA", at positions 341 to 792 of the family's 1533-position model. Lineage: Bacteria; Bacillati; Bacillota; Clostridia; Lachnospirales; Lachnospiraceae. The record is from RNAcentral.
ACGGGAGGCAGCAGUGGGGAAUAUUGCACAAUGGGCGAAAGCCUGAUGCAGCGACGCCGCGUGAGCGAAGAAGUAUUUCGGUAUGUAAAGCUCUAUCAGUAGGGAAGAUAAUGACGGUACCUGACUAAGAAGCACCGGCUAAAUACGUGUCAGCAGCCGCGGUAAUACGUAUGGUGCAAGCGUUAUCCGGAUUUACUGGGUGUAAAGGGAGCGUAGGCGGUUUUACAAGUCUGAUGUGAAAGCCCGGGGCUCAACUCCGGUAUUGCAUUGGAAACUGUAGAACUAGAGUGUCGGAGGGGUAAGUGGAAUUCCUAGUGUAGCGGUGAAAUGCGUAGAUAUUAGGAGGAACACCAGUGGCGAAGGCGGCUUACUGGACGAUUACUGACGCUGAGGCUCGAAAGCGUGGGGAGCAAACAGGAUUAGAUACCCUGGUA